UCUCCGUUGGUGAACCAGCGGAGGGAUCAUUACCGAGUUUACAACUCCCAAACCCCUGUGAACUUAUACCGUCACGUUGCUUCGGCGGGAAUCGCCCCGGCUGCCCUCGCGGCGGACCGGAUCCCAGUGCGCCCGCCGGAGGACCUUUAAACUCUUCUGUCUCUCAUAGCGGCAUGUCUGAGUGGAUUUUAUACAAAUGAAUCAAAACUUUCAACAACGGAUCUCUUGGUUCUG
This 234-nucleotide unclassified non-coding RNA is filed under the name plant metagenome. RNAcentral describes it as "partial contains small subunit ribosomal RNA, internal transcribed spacer 1, and 5.8S ribosomal RNA". The record is from RNAcentral.